GCACACACACACACGCACACACACUCACGCAGAGCCUACAUGUGCACCAUGAAGAGGAAGGAAGUCUCAUGGAGCUGGGGAUUUAAAGAAUCUGCACACUAGACUUGAAUGUAUUCAACUUGAGCUUGUGUUUGAUUAAAUUAAAACACUCUGGAUUGUCCUGGACUAUUUUAUUAUCCGUGAAGUAAGCUGACUGGCACCGGCGAUUUAAAAUCCAGUAAUAAUAAUAAUAGUGAUUAAGUUUGGUUAAAGUAAAUCUGGACGUAUUUUAGAGAGGGAGAAAUAAAAACAGACAGCGCCAUAUGAAGCUGGUUUCUUGGGAUGAGUUUGGGACAAUCAAAGCUGGUUAACCUGAGGAAUGCUGUCUGGAGCGCUGGAAUGUUUUUGGAAAACCGGCUUGUUUGGGAGCUGCUGGAUGGAGGAGGAGAGGAGAGGAGAGGAGCGGAGCGGAGAGGAGAGGAGAGGAGAGGAGAAGCCAGACCAACCACAUCAAGCUUUCCUAUGCAUACACGCAGAUUGCGACUGGGAUUGAAUACACUGAGACCCAGGAGAUUUAGAGAAGGGGGCGUGUGCCUGGAAUAAACGCCGAAGACGUCUCGAAUAAUGGAGGUGACGUCAUCGCAGCUGUGUGGUCAGAGUGUGGCACCGAACGAGCGAAGGUGUUCCCGGGCCACGCUGCUCCCCCGUCCCGAACAGUAAGAGUUUAUGUGCUGUGGGAACCUCGGGAAUCGGCGUAUACACUCUUACAGUUCAGGGCGACCGGGAGACCAUCCUUCUCCUGCAAAGAGGACAUAGCCGUUUAAAACAAGGGCUUAGACUGUGAAUUGUGGAUCCCCUUUUGAAAGUUUCCCGCAGUAAAAGCACAGCAGAGUGUAAUCAAGCGUAGGCAAUGCACGGUAAAGUAUAGGCACGCAUUGUAAAGCCCAGAGCGGCGCUGUAAAGCUGCUUUUAAACACAGCAAACCACGGUAAACUGUUUUAAACGCAGAGUAUAACCAUGGGCUACAUUACCGUGCAAAUGCUCCGUGGAAACUUUUCGAAGGGUCGCUGAAUUGUGAUCAUUUCUUAGAAGACAUGCACUGAAUAGGACAAACGUUCUUGAAUGAUGAAUAAAUGUGACUGAUAGAUACGA
Acipenser ruthenus (sterlet) is the source of this 1131-nucleotide long non-coding RNA. RefSeq lists it as uncharacterized. The record is from RefSeq and is a predicted model, not a curated record. The transcript is spliced from 2 exons. Lineage: Eukaryota; Metazoa; Chordata; Actinopteri; Acipenseriformes; Acipenseridae.